This 161-nucleotide ribosomal RNA is filed under the name uncultured bacterium. RNAcentral describes it as "partial 16S rRNA". It matches the Rfam family "Bacterial small subunit ribosomal RNA", at positions 358 to 511 of the family's 1533-position model. The record is from RNAcentral.
GGAAUCUUCCACAAUGGACGAAAGUCUGAUGGAGCAACGCCGCGUGAGUGAAGAAGGGCUUCGGCUCGUAAAACUCUGUUGUUAAAGAAGAACAUAUCUGAGAGUAACUGUUCAGGUAUUGACGGUAUUUAACCAGAAAGCCACGGCUAACUACGUGCCAG